Pimephales promelas (fathead minnow) is the source of this 1306-nucleotide non-coding RNA. Lineage: Eukaryota; Metazoa; Chordata; Actinopteri; Cypriniformes; Leuciscidae. The record is from RefSeq and is a predicted model, not a curated record.
GAAACAAAGACACCUACAUAUUGGAUGCCCUUGAGGAUCAGUGACCGCGGCUACAUUGCUGAUGUCAAACCCUUUAAUACGAAUGAGACAGCGAUGGAGCUCAAUGUCAACAGUGACCUGGAGCGAGGGAGGAGAAGGAGAGGUGGAGAAGAAGAAGAAGAAGAGGGGUAGCUAGGGAACCGAAUGAGUGAAGGAGAAAGACGGCGUUACAGAAAAACACCACCUCUGUCAUCUGCUCCCUUCACCCGACACCCUUGUUCUUGACUCGGGAUCGCCCUGAGGGUCGGCCGCCCGGUUCGCUUCGUCUCGCAGGAAAAUCCUCAAGCCUCUGCCUGGAAACAUCCAAGACAGAGAACAGAUGGCGCUGUGAUUUCUGACAAUUGUGAACAUGUUUUCCCCCCCAACUGCGUCUGUGUGUGUGUUUGUGCUCUUUUUGCUAUCCAGACCUCCGCUCCUGUAGACUAUACACCCUUGGGCCUACUUGCUGCUACGGGUCAGACCCAUAGAGUCAUCGUGGAUUAAAAGCACUGGGAAACGCGCCAUAGGUCCAUCACUCAACGCAUCGGAUCCAAACUAGCACAACGGGGUGUUGACAGAUCUCCUCUUUUAACGCUGAUCUCAGAGCGGUAUUCCAGAAGCUCUCAUUGUGAUGGGAAUUUGAAUGCAUGUGAGAGCGACUGCUCCGAAACCAGCAUAUGUGGGAGACUGAGCGUGAAACGGGACCGGCGGGACCCACGGGUCAGGGAUGAUGAUGAUGAUGAACUGGCGGAGCCCAACCCCACUGUUUGUCCUGAAAUGGCUCCAACAUAUAAAAGACCCUGCAGUAAAGGUGUGUGUGUGUGAGAGCUUUACUGUCCACAGGCUCGUACGGAAAGUAAAUCAGGGGCCUAUUGUACCGUAAAUGUCAUUGGCCCUGCCUCUCGUCUCCUGUCGCUGGCAGAGCGUUUUGUGGGUUAUGAGACUGGAUGGACACCAAUACUUUGCCUUAAAGGUGUCCAGAAGAGGCUGGAAGAGAAGAUGAACUGUGAAUUCGGGACUCUGUAUGUUUUACAAGACAGCAUCCAUGAGGAAAAUCAAUUAAGCUGAGUGGUAAACGUCAGUUAUUUCUGUAUAUUGUCUCUGGCACUAUUAGGACGUCCAACAUAUUUGAAGCAAAUUUGUGCCCUUUAGGGAGGCUUGUAAUAAGAGUUUUUACACAUUCUGAAGAAAGUGUUGGUGGUGCUUGCCUGUGGAAAACUCACCGCCACAAUGCUACCGUAUCAAUUAUCUGCCAAAAUUAGAGUAUUGUUUAUAAUAUUAAAGCAUA